UGGGGAAUAUUGCACAAUGGGCGGAAGCCUGAUGCAGCAACGCCGCGUGCGGGAUGACGGCCUUCGGGUUGUAAACCGCUUUCGCCUGUGACGAAGCGUGAGUGACGGUAAUGGGUAAAGAAGCACCGGCUAACUACGUGCCAGCAGCCGCGGUGAUACGUAGGGUGCGAGCGUUGUCCGGAUUUAUUGGGCGUAAAGGGCUCGUAGGUGGUUGAUCGCGUCGGAAGUGUAAUCUUGGGGCUUAACCCUGAGCGUGCUUUCGAUACGGGUUGACUUGAGGAAGGUAGGGGAGAAUGGAAUUCCUGGUGGAGCGGUGGAAUGCGCAGAUAUCAGGAGGAACACCAGUGGCGAAGGCGGUUCUCUGGGCCUUUCCUGACGCUGAGGAGCGAAAGCGUGGGGAGCGAACAGGCUUAGAUACCCUGGUAGUCCACGCUGUAAACGGUGGGUACUAGGUGUGGGGUCCAUUCCGCGGGUUCCGCGCCGUAGCUAACGCUUUAAGUACCCCGCCUGGGGAGUACGGCCGCAAGGCUA
This 531-nucleotide ribosomal RNA is filed under the name uncultured bacterium. RNAcentral describes it as "bacterial SSU rRNA". It matches the Rfam family "Bacterial small subunit ribosomal RNA", at positions 355 to 896 of the family's 1533-position model. The record is from RNAcentral.